GAGGAGGAGGUAGAAGCAGUAGGUUUGGAGGGUUUUGAGGAGGAGGUAGAAGCAGUAGGUUUGGACAGUUGGAGGAGGAGGUAGAAGCAGUAGGGUUGGAGGGUUGGAGGAGGAGGUAGAAGCAGUAGGUUUGGACGGUUGGAGGAGGAGGUAGAAGCAGCAGGGUUGGAGGGUUUUGAGGAGGAGGUAGAAGCAGUAGGUUUGGACAGUUGGAGGAGGAGGUAGAAGCAGCAGGUUUGGACGGUUGGAGGAGGAGGUAGAAGCAGCAGGUUUGGACGGUUGGAGGAGGAGGUAGAAGCAGCAGGGUUGGAGGGUUUUGAGGAGGAGGUAGAAGCAGUAGGUUUGGACGGUUGGAGGAGGAGGUAGAAGCAGUAGGUUUGGAUGGUUGGAGGAGGAGGUAGAAGCAGUAGGUUUGGACGGUUGGAGGAGGAGGUAGAAGCAGUAGGUUUGGACGGUUGGAGGAGGAGGUAGAAGCAGCAGGUUUGGACGGUUGGAGGAGGAGGUAGAAGCAGCAGGUUUGGACGGUUGGAGGAGGAGGUAGAAGCAGCAGGGUUGGAGGGUUUUGAGGAGGAGGUAGAAGCAGUAGGUUUGGACGGUUGGAGGAGGAGGUAGAAGCAGUAGGUUUGGACGGUUGGAGGAGGAGGUAGAAGCAGUAGGUUUGGACAGUUGGAGGAGGUAGAAGCAGCAGGGUUGGACGGUUGGAGGAGGAGGUAUGAUAGUUUUUGCCUGCCUCACUAUAAGCAGCAGGGUUGGAUGAGGAGGUGGUAGUAGUAGCAGGGUUAGAGUGUUGGAGGAGGAGGUAGUAACAGCAGGGUUGGGUGAGGAGGUAUUAGUAGCAGGGUUGAAGGAGAAGGUAGAAGCAGCAGGGCUGGAUGAGGAGGUAGAAGCAGUAGAGUUGGAGGAUGAGGUUAAAGCGGUACAGUUUGAGGGGAAGGUAGAAGCAGCAGGGUUGGAGGAGGAGAGGGAAGCAGCAGGGUUGGAGGAGGAGGUAGAAGCAGCAGGGCUGGAGGAGGAGGUAGAAGCAGCAGGGCUGGAUGAGGAGGUAGAAGCAGCAGGGCUGGAUGAGGAGGUAGAAGCAGCAGGGUUGGAGGAGGAGGUAUUAGCAGCAGGGUUGGAGGAGGAGGUAUUAGCAGCAGGGUUGGAGGAGGAGGUAUUAGCAGCAGGGUUGGAGGAGGAGGUAGAAGCAGCAGGGUUGGAGGAGGAGGUAUUAGCAGCAGGGUUAGAGGAGGAGGUAUUAGCAGCAGGGUUGGAGGAGGAGGUAGAAGCAGCAGGGUUGGAGGAGAAGGUAGAAGCAGCAGGGUUGGAGGAGGAGGUAGAAGCAGCAGGGUUGGAGGAGGAGGUAGAAGCAGCAGGGUUGGAGGAGGAGGUAGAAGCAGCAGGGUUGAAGGAGGAGGUAGAAGCAGCAGGGUUGGAGGACGUAGUAGCAGCAGGGUUGGACGGUUGUAGGGAAGGAAGUAGCAGCAGGGUUAGAGGAGGUAGAAGCAGCAGGGUUGGAGGAGGAGGUAGAAGCAGCAGGGUUGAAGGAGGAGGUAGAAGCAGCAGGGUUGGAGGACGUAGUAGCAGCAGGGUUGGACGGUUGUAGGGAAGGAAGUAGCAGCAGGGUUAGAGGAGGUAGAAGCAGCAGGGUUGGAGGAGGUAGUAGCAGCAGGGUUGAAGGAGGAGGUAGAAGCAGCAGGGCUGGAUGAGGAGGUAGAAGCAGCAGGGUUGGAGGAGGAGGUAGAAGCAGCAGGGUUGGAGGAGGAGGUAGAAGCAGCAGGGCUGGAUGAGGAGGUAGAAGCAGCAGGGCUGGAUGAGGAGGUAGAAGCAGCAGGGCUGGAUGAGGAGGUAGAAGCAGCAGGGUUGAAGGA
Long non-coding RNA from Oncorhynchus tshawytscha (Chinook salmon), 1847 nucleotides. NCBI's taxonomy places the organism in Eukaryota, Metazoa, Chordata, Actinopteri, Salmoniformes, Salmonidae. The record is from Ensembl.